AGAGUUUGAUCAUGGCUCAGAUUGAACGCUGGCGGCAGGCCUAACACAUGCAAGUCGAACGGUAACAGGAAGAAGCUUGCUUCUUUGCUGACGAGUGGCGGACGGGUGAGUAAUGUCUGGGAAACUGCCUGAUGGAGGGGGAUAACUACUGGAAACGGUAGCUAAUACCGCAUAACGUCGCAAGACCAAAGAGGGGGACCUUCGGGCCUCUUGCCAUCGGAUGUGCCCAGAUGGGAUUAGCUAGUAGGUGGGGUAACGGCUCACCUAGGCGACGAUCCCUAGCUGGUCUGAGAGGAUGACCAGCCACACUGGAACUGAGACACGGUCCAGACUCCUACGGGAGGCAGCAGUGGGGAAUAUUGCACAAUGGGCGCAAGCCUGAUGCAGCCAUGCCGCGUGUAUGAAGAAGGCCUUCGGGUUGUAAAGUACUUUCAGCGGGGAGGAAGGGAGUAAAGUUAAUACCUUUGCUCAUUGACGUUACCCGCAGAAGAAGCACCGGCUAACUCCGUGCCAGCAGCCGCGGUAAUACGGAGGGUGCAAGCGUUAAUCGGAAUUACUGGGCGUAAAGCGCACGCAGGCGGUUUGUUAAGUCAGAUGUGAAAUCCCCGGGCUCAACCUGGGAACUGCAUCUGAUACUGGCAAGCUUGAGUCUCGUAGAGGGGGGUAGAAUUCCAGGUGUAGCGGUGAAAUGCGUAGAGAUCUGGAGGAAUACCGGUGGCGAAGGCGGCCCCCUGGACGAAGACUGACGCUCAGGUGCGAAAGCGCGGGGAGCAAACAGGAUUAGAUACCCUGGUAGUCCACGCCGUAAACGAUGUCGACUUGGAGGUUGUGCCCUUGAGGCGUGGCUUCCGGAGCUAACGCGUUAAGUCGACCGCCUGGGGAGUACGGCCGCAAGGUUAAAACUCAAAUGAAUUGACGGGGGCCCGCACAAGCGGUGGAGCAUGUGGUUUAAUUCGAUGCAACGCGAAGAACCUUACCUGGUCUUGACAUCCACAGAACUUUCCAGAGAUGGAUUGGUGCCUUCGGGAACUGUGAGACAGGUGCUGCAUGGCUGUCGUCAGCUCGUGUUGUGAAAUGUUGGGUUAAGUCCCGCAACGAGCGCAACCCUUAUCUUUUGUUGCCAGCGGUCCGGCCGGGAACUCAAAGGAGACUGCCAGUGAUAAACUGGAGGAAGGUGGGGAUGACGUCAAGUCAUCAUGGCCCUUACGACCAGGGCUACACACGUGCUACAAUGGCGCAUACAAAGAGAAGCGACCUCGCGAGAGCAAGCGGACCUCAUAAAGCGCGUCGUAGUCCGGAUUGGAGUCUGCAACUCGACUCCAUGAAGUCGGAAUCGCUAGU
RNAcentral lists this ribosomal RNA (1341 nucleotides) under metagenome. RNAcentral's name for it is "bacterial SSU rRNA". It matches the Rfam family "Bacterial small subunit ribosomal RNA", at positions 8 to 1339 of the family's 1533-position model. The record is from RNAcentral.